CAUAGAUCAAUUACAAUAUGAUGAAUUAAUUUUUAUAGUCUCGUUCGUAUGAAAUUUAGUGAUUUCAAACAUACCACUUUACUGAACAAAUAUUGGUACUUAUAACUUAUGAGCUUAAUCUAUAAAUCAUCUCUAACAAGAUUUUUCAUUACAGGUUAUUUACAUCCUGGAAGUAACAUGCCAUUCAAUUGUGGAAUACCACAAAAUCAAGAAUGGAAGGUGCUAAACAUGCCAUCAGACCUAACAUGAUAUUCUGAACUGACUGUGGACACUACAAGGACCAAGUGAUUGAGACAGAGUGGUGGCAACACUGACUACACCACCGGGUUGAAAUGAAAUAGAACAGAUAUCUGCAGCACACAUUUUUUACAGGACAGGACCGAAUGAAAUAAUGAUAAAAAUGCUGCAACAGAGACACAGGAUUGCUGAAUUUCCAUGUAAUAUCCAGAAUAAACGUCUCUAUCUUCGAUCGAUCUACUUAUCUGUAAAGCUGCUGAUACGAGAAAAAGGGUGUGGGACAUCAAUGAAUAAACUCAAAAACAUCCAAUAAGUUGAUCUGGUGUUGUCUUGGACUUGACGAACAUCGUACAUUCCGUUGAACAAAGUAACAUGAUCUGCAGUAUUCUUGGUCACCAUUGGAUUAAAUACAAUGAAGAUUGUUGAAAUAUCUCCUGAUUUCUUGAUGUAUGCACAUUGAACAAUGAACAAAAUGCAACCCAAAUGAUUGAAGAAUAACUACAAGUCCUUUGAAUUUUGCUCCAUCUACAUCUACACCAUGGAAUUUCUCAACGAUGUGAAAGUAAAGCUGCAUAAUUGUAUUAAACAGGACAGCACAACGAUAUGUAUCUACCAAAAAAAAAACUGUGCAACAUUCUGCUUUUUUCAUGGAUUUUGAUCAUCUUGAGACUCCAAAUCAAAGAAUAACUAAACUGCAGCUUUUUUUUGGUUUUAUCCACAUACUACAUCUAAGAUAAGAUGAAAUGAAAAUAAUUUAAUGAAUAGUUUAUUCCUGAAAACUGCCCUACAACUCUUCUCUUCUAAAUCGAAAGAUAUGCUAUCCACGAAGAAAGGUUUCGUGGUUGGAUAAGGAUUAUGUGACCACGGAAUAAAUUAAUAGAUUCGUCAAGCCUAAAAUGGUGUACUUAGAGGAAACAAGUGCUGGCACAAGGACAAAAUUAUAAGAUUUAAUACCAAAACAAUGGGGCUGAGCCGAGUACUGGCUGGAGAAAAUUAUAAUAGCAGAAGAUAAUAAUAUGAUAUGUGGGGACAUGUCACACACCGACAGAUACAUCAACACCAAUGUCCAUAUGCGAUACCUCCAAUGUUACCAGAGAAUAAGUGUGCAAGUCUUCUGUGGGGUAUUCUUCUUUGCUUUUACAUUGCAAAUAAGGUAAAUUUAGCUGCUCACCGACAACGACAUUGUGUUAAAUAUUAUAUAAUUAAUUUAAGCGUAAAUAAUGUCAUUUUUAAUAUUACUUCAUAAUAAAACACGAUCGUAUCGAUCAAAUAAUGUAUUAUCAAUUUAUGGUUAACCAUAUCCUCUUCCUUUUCGAUAGGGUCCUGUACAAACAUAGUAUUUGAGCAUCGCACUCAAGGACCUACAAUAUUACCUAG
Non-coding RNA from Plutella xylostella (diamondback moth), 1614 nucleotides. Lineage: Eukaryota; Metazoa; Arthropoda; Insecta; Lepidoptera; Plutellidae. The record is from RefSeq and is a predicted model, not a curated record.